GAUGAACGCUAGCGGCAGGCUUAAUACAUGCAAGUCGAGGGGCAGCAGGACUGUAGCAAUCCAGUUGCUGGCGACCGGCAAACGGGUGCGGAACACGUACGCAACCUACCCAAAACUGGGGGAUAGCCCGGGGAAACCCGGAUUAAUACCUCGUAACCUUUUUAAGUGGCAUCACUUGAUAAGUAUAGCUCCGGCGGUUUUGGAUGGGCGUGCGCCUGAUUAGGUAGUUGGUGCGGGUAACGGCCCACCAAGCCUGCGAUCAGUAACUGGUGUGACAGCACGACCAGUCACACGGGCACUGAGACACGGGCCCGACUCCUACGGGAGGCAGCAGUAAGGAAUAUUGGUCAAUGGACGCAAGUCUGAACCAGCCAUGCCGCGUGAAGGAUGAAGGUCCUCUGGAUUGUAAACUUCUUUUAUGGGGGACGAAACCCGGAUAUUCUUAUCCGAUUGACGGUACCUCAGGAAUAAGCACCGGCUAACUCCGUG
This 489-nucleotide ribosomal RNA is filed under the name uncultured bacterium. Its description in RNAcentral is "partial 16S ribosomal RNA". It matches the Rfam family "Bacterial small subunit ribosomal RNA", at positions 28 to 507 of the family's 1533-position model. The record is from RNAcentral.